GGGGAAUCUUGCGCAAUGGGCGGAAGCCUGACGCAGCGACGCCGCGUGCGGGAGGAAGGCCCUCGGGUCGUAAACCGCUUUCAGCAGGGACGAGGCCGCAAGGUGACGGUACCUGCAGAAGAAGCCCCGGCUAACUACGUGCCAGCAGCCGCGGUAAUACGUAGGGGGCGAGCGUUAUCCGGAUUCAUUGGGCGUAAAGCGCUCGUAGGCGGCCUGCUAGGUCGGGAGUCAAAUGCGGGGGCCCAACCCCCGGCCGCUCCCGAUACCGGCGGGCUUGAGUUUGGUAGGGGAAGGCGGAAUUCCCGGUGUAGCGGUGGAAUGCGCAGAUAUCGGGAAGAACACCGGUGGCGAAGGCGGCCUUCUGGGCCACAACUGACGCUGAGGAGCGAAAGCUGGGGGAGCGAAC
RNAcentral lists this ribosomal RNA (406 nucleotides) under uncultured bacterium. Its description in RNAcentral is "bacterial SSU rRNA". It matches the Rfam family "Bacterial small subunit ribosomal RNA", at positions 356 to 773 of the family's 1533-position model. The record is from RNAcentral.